This 497-nucleotide ribosomal RNA is filed under the name uncultured bacterium. Its description in RNAcentral is "partial 16S ribosomal RNA". It matches the Rfam family "Bacterial small subunit ribosomal RNA", at positions 28 to 507 of the family's 1533-position model. The record is from RNAcentral.
GAUUAACGCUGGCGGCGUGCCUAAUACAUGCAAGUCGAGCGAACGGACGAGAAGCUUGCUUCUCUGAUGUUAGCGGCGGACGGGUGAGUAACACGUGGAUAACCUACCUAUAAGACUGGGAUAACUUCGGGAAACCGGAGCUAAUACCGGAUAAUAUUUUGAACCGCAUGGUUCAAAAGUGAAAGACGGUCUUGCUGUCACUUAUAGAUGGAUCUGCGCUGCAUUAGCUAGUUGGUAAGGUAACGGCUUACCAAGGCAACGAUGCAUAGCCGACCUGAGAGGGUGAUCGGCCACACUGGAACUGAGACACGGUCCAGACUCCUACGGGAGGCAGCAGUAGGGAAUCUUCCGCAAUGGGCGAAAGCCUGACGGAGCAACGCCGCGUGAGUGAUGAAGGUCUUCGGAUCGUAAAACUCUGUUAUUAGGGAAGAACAUAUGUGUAAGUAACUGUGCACAUCUUGACGGUACCUAAUCAGAAAGCCACGGCUAACUGCGUG